AAACUAACAAGGAUUCCCCUAGUAACGGCGAGUGAAGCGGGAAGAGCUCAAAUUUGAAAUCUGGUAGCCUUCGGUUGCCCGAGUUGUAAUCUAGAGAAGUGUUUUCCGCGUUGGCCCAUGUACAAGUCCCUUGGAACAGGGCGUCAUAGAGGGUGAGAAUCCCGUCCUUGACAUGGACCCCCAAUGCUUUGUGAUACACUUUCAACGAGUCGAGUUGUUUGGGAAUGCAGCUCAAAAUGGGUGGUGAAUUCCAUCUAAAGCUAAAUAUUGGCGAGAGACCGAUAGCGAACAAGUACCGUGAGGGAAAGAUGAAAAGCACUUUGGAAAGAGAGUUAAACAGUACGUGAAAUUGUUGAAAGGGAAACGAUUGAAGUCAGUCAUGCUCUUUGGAUUAAGCCGUUCUGCGGUGUAUUUCAUUGAGCGGGGUCAACAUCAGUUUUGAUCGCUGGAAAAGGGCAGGAGGAAGGUAGCACUCUCGGGUGAACUUAUAGCCUCUUGUCGUAUACAGUGAUUGGGACUGAGGAACGCAGCAUGCCUUUUGGCCGGGAUUCGUCCACGUACAUGCUAGGAUUGAC
Molecule: ribosomal RNA, 575 nt
Filed under: Naganishia globosa
Lineage: Eukaryota; Fungi; Basidiomycota; Tremellomycetes; Filobasidiales; Filobasidiaceae
Description: partial large subunit ribosomal RNA
Rfam family: Eukaryotic large subunit ribosomal RNA
Source: RNAcentral